GAGCGCCAAUCGCUCGGGGAAGCUUUUCAUUCAUUCAAUUUUCCCUGCAAGCUUAUUCGCCCCAAAUCUGUCCCCAAAUUUCUCACCUCUCCGUGCGUGACUCUCUUGGGGAAAAGCCAAACCUCACGGAAAGUCACCAUGUCUAUUUUUGACAACAAUCAAAAUAUGGCUCACCAAACAUCAUCACAGUAGGCGAUAUGGGAGCAAAAAUUUUGAGAGAAACGAAAGCUUGCGUAGGUACCUACGCAAUCCUUCGUUGGAAAAGCUUUCUUGGAUUCGCUCGCUCACCAGCUCUCCCUCGUGGGCUUCUCGAGUUUGGGGCGAUCCUCGCACUCGUCGUUUGGCCCCCUCGCUGUUGGAGCUCUGCGCAUGAUUCGCUCCAUUUUCAAUUCCGAAACGACAGCUUUCGCCAGCUCGAACUUUUCUUCCUUGGCGAUAUGUGUGGAUACUAGGCUUUGGCUCUGGAUGGUUUUCCGUUCAUUCGUCAAUCGAUUUUCCUUCUCACUUGAAAAAGCUACCAUCUUGGUAUGGUGUGGAAAAUUUAGCUGCUGUUCCGUGAGGAAAAUUCUGCAUUUUCCCAGACUGAUUCAAGUUUAAAAAGUAAUUCUAGGUGUUGUAAAGUGCUUGGUGAAGUUUUAGUAGCGCGAAAAGCCUGUUGUUAAGAUGAAUUACGCGGGCAGGUGUUGUUGAGGAGGAAUUUCCAUAAUUUCUUACUGCAGGAUAGGUUGGAGCAAAGAAAAAAAAAUCCGAGCAAAAUUGCAGUGGGCGACCAGCUCUAGCAGCCCCGUUUUAGAAAUCUUCGCAGCAGCGAAAUUGCGAACACAAAAAAUCCAAAAUGGCUCCGGGUCUUAAAAUAUGGAAAAGAAGUGCUGAGCCCGAUGCCGAUGCAGCCAAACUACCAGAGGCUGCGACCACUCUGGCGACGAGAAUCUUCAAUCACAAGCACCAUCAUCGUACGACGACGGAAUCGGAGCUAGAAACAG
Long non-coding RNA from Uranotaenia lowii, 983 nucleotides. RefSeq lists it as uncharacterized. NCBI's taxonomy places the organism in Eukaryota, Metazoa, Arthropoda, Insecta, Diptera, Culicidae. The transcript is spliced from 2 exons. The record is from RefSeq and is a predicted model, not a curated record.